Mesoplodon densirostris (Blainville's beaked whale) is the source of this 5919-nucleotide long non-coding RNA. RefSeq lists it as uncharacterized. The record is from RefSeq and is a predicted model, not a curated record. Lineage: Eukaryota; Metazoa; Chordata; Mammalia; Artiodactyla; Ziphiidae. The transcript has 6 exons.
GCUGCAAAGGGAAGGAGAGGAAACGAGAGGGGAAAAUAAAAGACUUGAUGCGAUAGGAAAUAUUAUCAACAGAAAUUGAAAAUAUUUGAGAUUAGAAUUCAGGUUAUGGAAGAAAUGAAAGUAUAGAAAUCAGGAUCACUGGUGGAGAAAUCAUCCCUGAAAAGAAAAUGAACAGCUUAUCCUCUGUGACUGUAGAAAAAGGAGUGAAAGCUAAAACCAGGAGAGGGAAAAGGGCAAGUAAGCAUGCAGAACCAGCACACACCAUCAUAUUGUCUGAGAACUGAUGCUCGUGCAUGCAUAGCGCCAGUGUGUGAGUCGAGGCAUACCCCAUACGGAGGCUGUUUGUGAACCUUCUGUGUGUGACUUUGUCCUGUUUUGGCUGGAGUUGCUUGGAAUGGCAGCAAUACAAAAGCCCAGAAUUUUACAUUUCUCACAACUACACGGAUGAUGCUCGGGCAGGAGACCACACUUUGGAAACUGCCACCCUAAUGAAGUUAUGGGCAAUUAGGAGAAUAUCUGAUUCACCCUAGUAAACCCAAGGGAAGCCAUUACGUAUGUGAAGCUGUGUUAGUUGCUGAAUCAAAACUUCGGUAAUUUUUGGCAGAUGAGAGGAAAAGAGCACAUGACAUACUGAAAACAAAGAGAACAAAUGAACAAUAGAAACAGAUGCACAGAAAAUUAGUUGACCCUUCAGCCCCUUCAGACUGCAGCCUGGGCACACAUAAUGAGUACAACCUCUAGAGAGACCCUGAGCACAAAGUUUAAUAAAAAUCUAGUGGACUGAGGACAGAAGAUGGUGAAGGAGUAGGAGGAUGUGGAGUUCAUCUCUCUCCAUGGAUGCAUCAGGAAUACAUCUAUAGAUGAACCAAUUCUCACACUGGCUGAACACUAGCAGAAGACCUUGGACACUGGAAAGGACUAUAAACAUCCCUGCAUAACGGGACGAGUGACUUGUGCAGUCUUGGUUCCUCAAGCAGAAGUCAGGCCUGAGCCUCUGGGGUGGGAGCACCAAGUCCAGGAACCUGGACCACUAGAGAAUUCCUGGCCCCAGGGAAGAUUAAUCACUGAGAGCUCUCAUGGAGGCCUCUAUCUGAAUCCAAGACCUGCUCCACCCAACUGCCUGCAGCUCCCAGCACUGGUUUCCUCACACCAAACAACAAACAAGACAGGAACACAACACCACCCAUUAGCAGAGAGGCUGCCUAAAGUCAUAUUAAGUUCAAAGACACCUCAAAACACACCACCUGACAGGGCCCUGCUUAUCACAGGGAAAAGACUCAGCUGCACCCACCAGAACGCAGACACCAGUCACUCCCAUCAGGAAGCCUACACAAGACACUGGACCAACGCCACCACGAGGGGUGGAGAACAGAAGCAAGAGGAACUAUGACCCUGCAGCCUAGGGAAAGGAGAUGUCAAAUACUGUACAUUAGACAAAAUAAGAAGACAGAGAAAUAUCUUUCAGGCAAAGGAGCAAGAUAAAAAUCCAAAGACUGGGCUUCCAUGGUGGCACAGUGGUUGAGAAUUUGCCUGCCAAUGCAGGGGACAUGGGUUUGAGCCCUGGUCUGGUAAGAUCUCACAUAUCGCAGAGCAACUAGGCCCAUGAGCCACAACUACUGAGCCUGUGCAUCUGGAACCUAUGCUCCACAACAAGAGAGGCCGCGAUAGUGAGAGACCCACACACCGUGAUGAAGAGUGACCCCCGCUUGCCACAACUAGAGAAAACCCUCACACAGAAACAAAGACCCAACACAGCCAAAAAUAAAUAAAUACAUACAUACAUACUCUCAAUUUCUGACAAUAUAUUAAGAAAAAACAAAAAAACCCCACAAGACCAAAUAAAUGAAGAGGAAACAGGCAAACUACCUGAAAAAAGAAUUCAGAGUAAUGAUAAUAAAGAUGAUCCAAAUGCUCACAAAUAGAGAAAAUACAAGAAACGUUUAACAAGGACCUACAAGAACUAAAGAGCAAACCAACAGUAAUGAGCAACACAAUAACUGAAAUUAAAAAUACUCUAGAAGGAAUCAAGAGCAGAAUAAGUGAGGAAGAAGAACAGAUAAGUGAGCUGGAAGACAGAAUGGUGGAAAUAACUGGCACAGAGCAGAAUAAAGAUAAAAGAAUGAAAAGAAUGGAGGACAGUCUCAGAGACCUCUGGGACAACAUUAAGCACAACAACAUUUAAAUUACAGGCAUCCCAGAAGAAGAAAAAAAAGAAAGGGUCUGAGAAAAUAUGUGAAGAGAUUAUAAUUGAAAACUUCUCCAACAUGGGAAAGGAAAUAGUCAAUAAAGUUCAGGAAGUGCAGAGAGUCCCAUACAGGAUAAACCCAAGGAGACACACGCCAAGACACAUAUUAAUCAAACUAACAAAAAAUAACACAAAGAAAAAAACAUUAAAAGCAGCAAAGGGAAAACAACAAAUAACAUACAAGGGAAUCCCCCAUAAGGUUAACAGCUGAUCAUUCAGCAGAAACUCUGCAGGCCAGAAGAGAGUGGCAGGAUCUAUUUAAAGUGAUGAAAGGGAAAAAGCUACAACCAAGAUUACUCUACCCAGCAAGGAUCUCAUUCAGAUUCAAUGGAGAAAUUAAAAUUUUUACAGACAAGCAAAAGCUAAGAGAAUUUAUCACCACCAAUCCAGCUUUACAACAAAUGCUCAAGGAACUUCUCUAGGCAGAAAACACAAGAGAAGGAAAAGACCUAAAAAAAGAAACCCAAAACAAUUUUUUAAAAAGUAAUAGGAAAAUACAUAUCAAUAAUGACCUUAAAUGUACAUGGAUUAAAUGCUCCAACCAAAAGACAUAGACUGGCUGAAUGGAUACAAAAACAAGACCCAUGUAUAUGCUGUCUACAAGACACCCAACACAGACCUAGGGACACAUACAAACUGAAAGUGAAGGGAUGGAAAAAGAUAUUCCAUGAAAAUGGCACUCAAAGCUGGAAUAGCACUAAUCAUAUCAGACAAAAUAGACUUUAAAAUAAAAACUACUACAAGAGACAAGGAAGGACACUACAUAAUGAUCAAGGGAUCAAUCAAAGAAGAAGAUAUAACAAUUGUAAAUAUUUAUGCACCAAACAUAGGAGCACCUCAAUAUAUAAGGCAAAUACUGACAGCCAUAAAAGGGGAAAUCAAGAGUAAAACAGUAAUAAUGUGGGACUUUAACACCCCACUUACACGAAUGGACAGAUCAUCCAAACAGAAGCUAAAUAAAGAAACACAAACUUUAAAUGACAUAGUAGACCAGAUGGACUUAACCAUUAUUUAUAGGACAUUCCAUGCAAAAACAACGGAAUACACUUUCUUCUCAAGUGCACAUGGAAUAUUCUCCAGGAUAGAUCACAUCUUGGGUCACAGAUCAAGCCUGGGUAAAUUUAAGAAAAUUGAAAUCAUAUCAAGCAUCUUUUCUGACCACAACACUAUGAAACUAGAUAUCAAUUACAGGAAAAAAAACUGUAAAAAAUACAAACACAUGGAGGCUAAACAAUAUGCUACUAAACAACCAAGAGAUCACUGAAGAAAUCAAAGAGGAAAUCAAAAAAUACCUAGAAACAAAUGACAAUGAAAACACAAUGACCCAAAACCUACGGGAUGCAGCAAAAGCAGGUCUAAGAGGGAAGUUGAUAGCAAUACAAUCCUACCUCAAGAAACAAGAAAAAUCUCAAAUAAACAACCUAACCUUACACCUAAAGCAAUUAGAGAAAGAAGAACAAAAAACCCCAAAGUUAGCAGAAGGAAAGAAAUCAUAAAGAUCACAGCAGAAAUAAAAGAAAUAGAAAUGAAGAAAACAAUUGCAAAGAUCAAUAAAACUAAAAGUUGGUUCUUUGAGAAGAUAAACAAAAUUGAUAAACCACUAACCAGACUCAUCAGGAAAAAAAGGGAGGAGACUCAAAUCAACAGAAUUAGAAAUGAAAACGAAGUAACAAUUGACACUGCAGAAAUACAAAGGAUCAUGAGAGAUUACUACAAGCAACUCUAUGCCAAUAAAAUGGACAACCUAGAAGAAAUAGACAAAUUCUUAGAAAAGUACAACCUUCCAUGACUGAACCAGGAAGUAAUAGAAUAUAUAAACAGACCAAUCACAAGCACUGAAAUUGAAACUGUGAUUAAAAAUCUUCCAACAAACAAAAGCCCAGGACCAGAUGGCUUCACAGGCGAAUUUUAUCAAACACUUAGAGAAGAGCUAACACCUAUCCUACUCAAACUCUUCCCAAAUAUAGCAGAUGGAGGAACACUCUGAAACUCAUUCUACGAGGCCACCAUCACCCUGAUACCAAAACCAAACAAAGAUGUCACAGAAAAAGAAAAUUACAGGCCAAUAUCACUGAUGAACAUAGACGCAAAAAUCCUCAACAAAAUACUAGCAAACAGAAUCCAACAGCACAUUAAAAGGAUCAUACACUGUGAUUAAGUGGUGUUUAUAUAGGAAUGGAAGGAUUCUUUAGUAUAUGCCAAUCAAUCCAUGUGGUACACCAUAUUAACUGAAGGAUUAAAAACCAUAUGAUCAUCUCAAUAGAUACAGAAAAAGCUUUUGACAACGUUCAACACACAUUUAUGAUAAAAACUCUGCAGAAAGUGGGCAUAGUGGGAAACUCCCUCAGCCUAAUAAAAGCAGUACAUGACAAACCCACAGCCAACAUCAUUCUCAAUGGUGAAAAACUGAAAGCAUUGCCUCUAAGAUCAGGAAGAAGAAAAGUGGGCCCACUCUAACCACUAUUGUCCAACAUGCCUUUGGAAGAUUUAGCCACAGCAAUCAGAAAAGAAAAAGAAAUAAAAGAAAUACAGAUUGGAAGAGACAAAGUAAAACUGUCACUGUUUGCAGCAGACAUGAUACUAUACAGAGAAAAUCCUAAAGAUGCCACCAGAAAACUACUAGAGCUAAUCAAUGAAUUUGGUAAAGUAGCAGGCUACAAAAUUAAUGCAGAGAAAUCUCUUGCAUUCCUAUACAUUAACAAUGAAAAAGCAGAAAGAGAAAUUAAGGAAACACUCCCAUUUACCACUGCAACAAUAAGAAUAAAAUACCUAGGAAUAAACCUACCUACAGAGGGAAAAGGCCUGUAAGCAGAAAAUUAUAAGAUACUGAUGAAAGAAAUCAAAGAUGAUACAGAUGGAGAGAUGUACCAUGUUCUUGGAUUGAAAGAAUCAUCAUUGUGACAAUGACUAAACUACCCAAAGCAAUCUACAGAUUUAAUGCAAUCCCUUUCAAAUUACUAAUGGAAUCUUUCAAAGAACUAGGACAAGAAAUUUUAUAAUUUGUAUGGAAACACAAAAGACUCCGAAUAGCCAAAGCAAUCUUGAGAAAGAAAAAUAGAGCUGGAGGAAUCAGGCUCCCUGACUUCAGACUGUAUUACAAAGCUACAGUACAAAGCUACUAAUAUAAAAAAACACAUAUAGAUCAAUGGAACAGGAUAGGAAGGCCAGAGAUAAACCCAUGCACAUAUAGUCACCUUAUCUUUGAUAAAGGAGGCAAGAAUAUACAGUGGAGAAAAGACAGCCUCUUCAGUAAGUGGUGCUGGGAAAACUGGACAGCUACAUGUAAAAGAAUGAAAUUAGAACACUCCCUAACACCAUACACAAAAAUAAACUCAAAAUGGAUUAAAUACCUAAAUGUAAGGCCAGACACUAUCAAACUCUUAGAGAAAAACAUAGGCAUAACACUCUAUGACAUAAAUCACAGCAAGAUCCUUUUUGACCCACCUCCUAGAGUAAUGGAAAUAAAAACAAAAAUAAACAAAUGGGACCUAAAGAAACUUAAAAGCUUUUGCACAGCAAAGGAAACCAUAAACAAGACCAAAAGACAACCCUCAGAAUGAGAGAAAAUAUUUGCAAAUGAAGCAACUGACAAAGGAUUAAUCUGCAAAAUUUACAAGCAGCUCAUGCAGCUCAAUAGCAAAAAAACAAACAACCCAAUCCAAAAAUGGGCAGAA